This 401-nucleotide ribosomal RNA is filed under the name uncultured soil bacterium. Its description in RNAcentral is "bacterial SSU rRNA". It matches the Rfam family "Bacterial small subunit ribosomal RNA", at positions 975 to 1375 of the family's 1533-position model. The record is from RNAcentral.
CAGGUCUUGACAUCCUCUGACAAUCCUAGAGAUAGGACGUUCCCCUUCGGGGGACAGAGUGACAGGUGGUGCAUGGUUGUCGUCAGCUCGUGUCGUGAGAUGUUGGGUUAAGUCCCGCAACGAGCGCAACCCUUGUCCUUAGUUGCCAGCAUUUAGUUGGGCACUCUAAGGAGACUGCCGGUGACAAACCGGAGGAAGGUGGGGAUGACGUCAAAUCAUCAUGCCCCUUAUGACCUGGGCUACACACGUGCUACAAUGGAUGGUACAAAGGGCUGCGAGACCGCGAGGUUUAGCCAAUCCCAUAAAACCAUUCUCAGUUCGGAUUGUAGGCUGCAACUCGCCUACAUGAAGCCGGAAUCGCUAGUAAUCGUGGAUCAGCAUGCCACGGUGAAUACGUUCCC